Coturnix japonica (Japanese quail) is the source of this 8431-nucleotide non-coding RNA. The record is from RefSeq and is a predicted model, not a curated record. Lineage: Eukaryota; Metazoa; Chordata; Aves; Galliformes; Phasianidae.
AAAUAUGGCAUUUAGAGAUGAAAGGAUUUAUUGAGGCUUCCACUUGCAGACUUACUCGCUUCUUCAAAUUUCCCCUUUAGCCUUUAAAAUGACUAGUGCUAGUGCUACCUCUCCUUCCUACAGCUGACAGCCACACACUAAUCCAUCUCACUGCCAACCUACUGCACUAUUGCUCAUCCUGAAUGUCUCCUCUUCUACUCACUUUUACCCAUUUUGACUGACAAACUGUUCCUCUCUUUUCCUUCAGCCUUUGUCCCAGGUAUUGCUCUGUCAAACUACACGCUUUUACCUUGGCUAUCUCCUUGUCAGUAAAUCACUAAAGCCCUUUACCAUUUCAAGAAGCUUUUUGCACCCAUUAUAGAGGUGGCAGAAGUUGAACAUGGCAUUUAAGAGGUGCGGGUGCUUUCAUGCUGCUGAGAAGCAAUCUAGAUGCUUCUCUGUUCUACAGCGUGAUGUCUCCUGAGAAAACAGCUAGGUUAAGUAGAUAACCUCUUUAAAGAAUGUCCAUCUAUCCCCUCCUGCUCCAGCCUAUAAAUCUUCCACACAGAAAAUCCUUGUGUGGAGUCAGGAGGAUGGCAACAGUGUGGGAAAUUUGCCAUGCUGCCUCUACACAUGUGGGAAAGGUGAAACUCCCAGACAGGACGUGCUGCCAGCACUCAGAGAUGCGACAAAUAAUACUAUGCUGUUCUUUAAAUGAUGUUAAAUGGAUGCUGCCUAAUACACAUCUGCAGACUGGUCAUUGAGAUGUGGACUUCGGAGUAUUACAACAAUUGCAAUGGCUCCUUUGCUACUGCUGUGAGCCCUCCAUCACUGCUUCUCCCCACAAGCUGCUGCUGGAGGUGCUGCUGCUGUGACAGACAACAAAUGAGCUUCCAAGCUGAGAUAUCGAAUGAGUUGUGACAGCUGGCUGCAGUCUGGAGCACAGGAGGAGGGAACCUCUCUUUCUUCUACCUUCUUUUACAGCGAUAGCUGAGGAGCAGAAGGCAAUGGUAUCAUUCACACGGAGGAGGUGUGAUGCAGUGUGAAAGGGAACUGGGAGGAAAGUGAGGUACGUCUGACAUGUCAGUCACUGAGGUGACACAGAAUGAGCUGGUAAAAUUUCUCCUCUGUUAGUGUUCCUUAAUUCUCUGCAGCUAUGCUGGUACAAGCAUCAAAGGCUUUCAGUAUGAAACACAGCAAGAGCUAAGCUGCCAGGGAUCAACACGGUCUCCUGAACUGGCUCAGAGGGUGCAGACGGAUCUGCUCUGACAGCCUCUUUAGCCAUGUCAAGCACAUUUAGCGUUCAGGCUGAAGUUGUUUUCCUCCCUAAGCUCAGGCCGCUGUGAAUUAAAAACACAUACCAACAGCAUGAGGUCGGAAACUCCAUAUGUGUUAUUUCCUUGCUUCCUGUGAACCUGCAUCUUAUAUACAAACACGCAUAAAUAACUCACUAUUAAUAUCUGUGAAGUUUACACAGUUCCUACCCGUGUAUUUCAAACUGCUCAGAAUUGACUCCUGCCAAGGAGAGUACUUAUCUCAUGAUUAGAAUCAUAAAGUAAAGCAAGUAAUGACAGCUUGAAGAGAUUUUAAUUGCAGUUUUCACACCUGUUUUCCCCUUAGGUGCAAUGGGAAGAUGCUGCGCUUGCCUAACUGGGAAGAAGGGCAGGAUUUUCUCUGUAAGGUAGACUUUGGAGAGUGCACCAGACUUAGAACAUCUGAGAAGUGCAUCCUUUACACGUACCUAUGAAUGUUCUGUCCCAGAAGGCUGGCUCUGGCUAGCAGAAAACAUAGAGAUGUUCACAUAGCCGGCUAUUCCCCUUCUCAAUACAACUGAUUGACAUUUAUAUUGCUUGGAGGUACAAAGAUUGCAGAAACAUGGUGUUUAUGACAAGUUAUUUCCUCAUUGUCCAACGUGAUGAGAACGAACUAGUUCAUAUUCCUUGCCUGCACUUAUUUUAGCAUUUCACCAGCCCCCUCUAAUUCCUAGUAUUUGGGGCUGAUCAUAAGCUCUGAUGCAGAAGAAAAACCUCUUCUAAAAUUCUUAGCGAUACCGAUUGUGUUCCAUCACCUUUCCAGACUGUCAAUACAAUCCCAUGAUGUGCCAAUGAGCCUCACAGUCUGAAGUAGCACUGAAUGAAAGCAUUACUCCUCUCCUACUGCCUCCUUUGCACAUUUUUUUUCCCCACUAAAUGACUUAGUUUUGUAUUAUGAGACAGAGAGAACCUCCCCAAGAACUUCUACAGGCUGCACUGACCAUCGCAUUCUGAGGUACUGAUCUUGUUUUUCACAAUAAACCAUAUGAAGGUUAAAACAAGAAUAAUCUUCACACAAUAGAUUAUUUAUGGUCAUUUUCUUGAACAGCCCAACUGCCCCAUAAAGUUUAUCAUCUUUUUAAGAAAUAAAGAACUUCAAAGAUCUCUAUCUUUUUCUUUUUUUUCUUUUAAAUUAAGCAUCUGAUUUUUGAUGCCACAUUACACUUACUGACAAGUAUAUUAUGACACUUAUACAUAAGAGGCCAUUUCUAAAUGCAAGAACAGUGAAGUACUUAAGGAGCUGCAGUUUGAAAACAAAUCAUGAUGAUCUGUCAAUGAAAUGGAAAUGAAGGAAAUAAAAUCCACGUGGUGCCUGAAGAGAGGUUUAAAUGUCUACAGCUAUGGUUAGAUUUCCAAACUAAGAACAUGAUUCACUCUUCUUUUGCAUCAUCUAAAAAUAGCCCCUAUACCUUCAUUAAGGAGUGAAGAAAAUGAGAACACGUGUCUGGACACACCAAGGCUCCCAUCUCUAAUCCCUCCGCUUCUUUGUUCUUAAGAUUGAAUGGGGGAAACAAUAGGGAGAAAACAGUGUUUCACACAGUUUGAAUUGCUCCCAGGUGCUUGCUGCUGUCCAUGGCCACACUGGAUGCUCCUCAGGUACAGUAGCCAAACCACCAUGUGUAAACUCCCCCAGGGCAAGGACUGGGGGAAUUGUACAACUCUGUUGCUACAGCUGGCAAAUUCACUGAAAAUACUGAUGUGAACAUAUACAAACACAUACACACUGAAUCAACUUGAGUUUUGUAGAGAGAAGCCCUGCUCCUGAAUCUCUCUGAGGUCCCUGAACAGCUAGCAAGCAUAUGGGAAACAGUGACCUGGCCCAGAGUGAAUCUCCAUUUCCAAAACCAACUGAGAAGAUCCCUCAUCAAAGCUGUGGCAGAAGCUAAGAUGGGAAGGAUUACAAAGGAAAGUCCUACUUGACCUUCCAUAGCCAAUUAAAAGACAGGAAAGAAAGUGUAAAUACACAGUCAUUUUUUACAAUGGAGGAAGGUUACCAGCUGGGUCUCACAAGGAUUUGUGUUGUGAUACUUGUAGAAGUGACCUGGAUAAUGGAGCGAAUGGUGCAGUGACAAAGUUCAUUGACAAAAAUGAAAAAAAAAAAAAGUCAAAGUAAAACCAGUUGCAAAGAGCUGCAAAAAGAUGUUACGAAUUCUGAGUGUGCAAUAAAAGGAAAAGGAUAUUUCAUACUGAUAUAAGGGAAAAUGGUGCACAAAGGCAUAAAAGGCCCUAACUAUACAUACACAAUGGGCUCUAUAUUGGCUCUGUUCCACCCGGGACAGAGACCUUGGAGUCACUGUGGAUAAUUUUCUGUGAGCACUUGUCUGAGUGGCAGUCAAAAAAGCAAAGAGAAAGAUAGAAGUAAUUAUGAAGGAACAGAGAAAACAAAAUGCCAUUACACCUCUAUACAAACGAUGCAACCUCAUUUUACAUAUGGUAUCAGUUCUGGACACUCAACCACAUGGGAAUACAGAAGAACUAGUAAAGAUACAAAGCAGGGAGACAAACACUGGUAUGGGAUGGUUUUUGGACAAGGAAUGACUACACAAAUCAGGAGUAUUCAAACUGGAAAAAGACACUACAGACAUCCAUAUGACUGUGAAUAACAGGGAGAAAAUCCACAAGAAGUGAAUCAAUAUUUCUCCUGUGGAAGUACAGGACACCAACGUAGUUAUGAAACAGUGGAUUAGAAACUAACAUAAGGAAGUGCAAUGAAAAGCUGGACUGUGGAACUCAUUGGCACAAAUAAUAAGAACAUUUGAAAUACAAAAGAACAAAUGCAAAGACGAAGGGUUCAUCUAGGGUUACUAACACAAUGGUAAAAAUACUAUUUCCAGUCCUGGAAGUCUGUCAAAUGCUGGCUGCCAAAAGCUGGAUGUGCUAGUAGUACUAAGGCAGAGGUGAAAUCCCUAAGUAGUCUGUAGGCACCAGUGCCAAAGACAUGAUAAUGGACUUGGGUACCACUGCUCCCAGACUCUGACCACAGUUAUUGGAAACAAGUUACGAGACCUUAGACAGUGGGUCUUUGUUACCUUCAGUUAAGCAGAGCCAAACACCACAGGCAGGAAUUACGGAAGCACUUCAGAUUUACUUUUCAAAGGUAGUAGGAGGAAAAGCUUUAGGGUCUUUCUGAAAGUCUUACUGGAGAUAUGAGAUGCAAACAGCUGUCUAAGAUCGCUGUACACAUUCAAAUACAAAAGCCAACAUAAAAGAAGAAAAAUGGGAGCAGCAGCCUCACUGCGAACUCACAACUAAUGAUAAUUAUUAGUGCUUUUUAUUCUAAAUUACAGACUAUCUUUAGGGAGUAGCAUUCCUAAUUACUCCAAUUUUAAAAUGCCACAGUGCAGCUGGUAAAUAUUUUAACUUGCAUCUUCUUAGUAAAACUGACAAAAACUAUUUAGCCAUCAAAACCACAGUCUUAAAAGCAUUCAGUAAAAUCCAACAAAAUGGGUUAGUUAAGAUUAUACUUUGAUAAAAUAAAACCGUUUAUUAACAGUAAACGUGUGCCAAGCAAUUGUAUAUGAAACAGAAUAAGAUUUAGCGCUUUUUUUCUUGUUUUCCUCUUGAAUAAUUAGGUUUGUUGAAUAAUGGUCUUUCAAUUAUAUUGCUGUUAAUUAGCAAUGCUAGCUGCUUUUAAACAUACACACGUUUGUACAUAUGCACACAUAUACGCUUGGGCAUAUAUGCACAAACAUACAUUCCGAACAUCAAAAAGCAGUGUACAUAAGCUUAAUUAUUCCUUGCCCUUACAGGAAACAAAAAAAGACUAAACAAUAAAACACGGAGUUAAAAACUACUCCAAUGAAAAAAAAUAGCAUGGCAGCUGCUUUGAGGAACAUUGUACUCUCACACAGAUGAGCUUCUGUUCAUGUAAAUCUAUAUUUAAGCUUUAAGAAGGGCAAGAAUGAACAUGGGCUACACUGCCUGUGACUGGUUCACCAACUGGUUAAACAGCAGAUUUGUAAGAUUUUGUUCUGCAAGGAUCUGAAACAAUCUUAGCUGUGUCUAAGGCCUUCCAGGUUUAGAGUUAAAAAUCAACCUCCAAGUGAAUUACAGUAGAAACUGCCAGAAUUAGAUGGUCUCUACAUAGAGGGGGGAAAAGGAGCACAUUUUAAAAUAGUUUAUGCAAUAAAGAUCUAAGUACAGAAUUCAGGAGAACAUUUAACUCCACACCCAUUAACCAUAUUUGAGGAGUCUUAAGAAAAAGAGAUUUGUUGAGACAGAAUCUAUCAUUUUCUAAUUAAAAACUCCACUAAGGAUUCUUAUUUAGUAGCUGAAGAUAGUUGGUUUAAGAGCACUGUAUUGAACUAACAUCACUAAGGCCAGAGAAAGACCUAGCAAUUUCUGACAAGAAAAUCAUAAAUAAUUGCCUAAGCUGCUCUAUGCCCUCACCUCAUGCAGACUGUAGCAUAUGUGCUAAUGAUUCUACAGAGCAGUCAUAAGGCUUAAUAGAGUCUCUGCAGCUGUGCAACACGUGAAUAUGAUCCGCCCUGACCAGAGCUAUGGCUAUUUUCUUUAUCCCUGAACUUCAGGAAAUCUGUUGCUAUUAAGCAACAUCCAUUCUGAUUCAAAUCUUCUAAUUGUUCCUCUAUUCCUCUAUCUUCCUCUGUUUCCAUAGAUCAGACCUGCUGAGUUAACGCGAGUAAUAGGGAACUUGCAUAUAGGCAUCUGGAUGUGCUUUCAUUUAUGUUUUUACAUCUCACUCUACAUAUAGAGACAAAACAAAGUUACCAAUAAUUACUCAAACAAACAAACAAAAAGAAUAAAUUAUCCUGCAAAAGUGACAAGAGGGAAACCCUACUGAAAAAGCUCUCACAGUAAGACUGUCAAUGUGGUAUUCAUAUUUGCAGCUCUUCCUACGGAAGCUUCCAUGUUUUUAGACUAGACUGAAUUCUUCUAACUGUCUUCCUAUAUAAAGCAAUUUCUAAAUGGCAAGAAACAUGCCAUAAGCCUCUUAACAUUUCAUGGCAUAUUAAUAAACACAGCUCAAUGAUGACUGCUUAGUACACCUAGAUAUUUGCCUUCUCUUUGACCUUUUUAUUAUCUCUGUUUAUUUCUUAAUGGGGAAGGAGAUGAGAGUAAAUAGAUCUAGGCGUAGCUCCACUUUUGUUAACAUUGUUUUGAAUUGAAAAGGGAAAGCAAAAUGUGUGGAAGUUUUAUGCUCCUUUUCAACACCAGUGUGAACCACUGCAGAUGUUGUGUCUACACUAGAAAACAGGGACUCAAGCUUCAGCUGCUGCUAGGCAAAGUGGAAUGUAACAGAGGUGGAGAUUCACACCAAGUUCUGCUUGAAUCUUAGUAAACACUUUACACUUAGUCCUUCCUGAAUAAGCUUUCCUGCUAUGGAUUGGGCAUGCUCCUUUAUGGUGUUUGGCUAUUUCUUUUCCUAUUUUUUUUAUUUUUUUUUUUGGAAAGAAAGAGGAAAGAGAAUGGUGAGAUGAAGUAACAAGACUCCAGUUACCAUGAGUACUACAGACAACUCAGAACUUGCUGUGCUUGUCCUUUCUGUCCUAUGACCAAACAACCUCUCUUGUAGGAAAGGGACAAAUUUCAUCUGUGUGAUCUUGAGCUGUUGCUAAGAACAGUGUAGUUACUGACUACACUAAAAAUACAGUGACGACAAAAAAAAAAAAGCAACCUCUUUUCCUUUUUUAACCUCUAGCAUAGAUGUGUUAUUUUUAAUUAGCAGGUACAACAAAUCUAAAGCACAGUAAUUUUUACGUUGUCAGAAUCUCUCUGUAUUUCACAUUAUUUAAUAAAGCGACCUUUUGUUCUCCACAAUUGCUAGUUUAUGACAGCUACUCAGACUGAUACCAAUUUUUUUUUGUUAAAUUGAAAUUCUAGCACAGGUAAGUUGCUACUAAAAGAUGAUGGAAAACCAGAUGGGGCAUUUAUAGCCAGAAUUGGUGUCAGAAAGGACAAAUUUGCAGAAGCUGGACAUGGUGAUUAAAGAUGUAAGGAUGAAGGUCUACCAGGAAUGAUGACAGGAGUACUUUUUGCAUCCUAUUACAAUAUAUGUAGCUCUACUGUACGAAUUUUGAUGCUGGGAAAUUUGCAAUGCAGGCACAACAGCCAGGGAUUUCAACCUCUCCAGUAAGUGACUAUUCAUCUUCACAGAGGAACAUUCAUGUUUAUCCUUGUUCACCCGGAGGAAUUGAGUCUUCUUUGCUGAACAACAGCCUCUGCAUCACUUAAACUGUGCUAAAAUGCAACAACUGCUGCAAAGGCCUCUGGAUGAUACUACUUUUAAUCUACGUGCCUUCCUCAAUGCAAAACUUCCUGUAUCUGCUGGAAAUUUCAAGCCAUAAUGCCCACAUGUUAAAAUAUUUUUACAGCUUAAUAGUCUGUCCUACACAUUAACAAAUUACCACUCAGAGUACACUAGCCAUGCUUCUCAUGCUGUUCGUAUAACCCCAACCAACAAGGUGCUUUGACACAAUGGCCUAAAAAAUCCUAUUUCCUUCUGAAACUGGAGUGUGGCAGCAUGAGAAAAUUCUUCCCCUAGAGAAGUGACAACAGCAAUUUACAUCACUUGUAUGUGAGGGGGGGUGGUAAUAAAGAGAGAAAGGAAUAAUUGUUUGUAAUAAAUAUUGGCCUCAUAACAGGGGAUUCUUCAUGAAGACUGAAGGUUAACCAUCAUGAGCUUGAAUACUUGGAGAGCUCUUUAACAAGUUCCAGUCUCUCUUCACAAAACUGGGACUCUAUGCACAAGUACAGGUAUCAGACUCCUAGAACAAUGCUAUGAACAUGUCAUCUGGCCAGCCUCAAUGUGCAUCCCAGUUGCUCUAACAUAUGGCCUUAUUUCAUUCCACACUACUAUUCACUGUAGUCAGUAAACAUCAGUGAGUUAUUGGAAAGAUUUAAACACAUUAAGGUGUUGAACACAAUGCUUUCCAAUGGAAAUUUGGAGGAAAAGACAAGGGGGAAAGAAAGACAGAUUGAACAGUUUGAUCUGAUCUGAAGAAAGGAACAACACAAAAAAAAAAAAAAAGGUGAUGUGACACUGAAAUAAUUCUGAUACUGAAAUAAAUAAAUCUAUGAGUUGGAAAAUAAUCUGAAAUUAAAGCUUGUUUGUGCUUGCUCUCAUCAGUCAUUUCUAGGUAUUCCUAAAUGGGAGAUGAGGGGAAAAAAAACCUAGAAAG